AAGCACACAACACAUACACAACUAGUUUCUAGCCAGGAAUUGGUGGAAGGAAGGAGCAAACUCAGGUACUGAUGUCCUAUUCCUUUCAGCUCCUUCUUUAUCGUAGGUGAUGAGCAUGCAGCAAUAAUAGUAGCCUAUUCAUCUAGUCCAGUCACUUUUCAUCUAGCUCAUGCAGGCAUGGCGCACAAAUAAAACUCUCUACCUAUUCCUGCUAGUUACUGCUGCAUGCAGUAACUAGUUGAAUCUAGGACUAGUAUUACUCAGUAUCUAUACCCUGGAAAGUUGAUGCGGCUAGUAACUUGCAGCUACUGGUUUUAUCAGGAUCUAUUACCAAAGAAGAAUUAAUAACGGGAGGAAUACUCACUAGUCAAGGUAAGACUGCGCAUAUCUGUUCACCUGCUCUAAUUUAGUUAUGAGUGAACUGUAACAAUGUGUUCAAUUGAUCUAGGCAGAAUAUGUCAUGAGCUACUAUAUGAUUUGAACCAGUAAGAUAGUUGAAUGAUAAUAAUUAAUUGCAUUCACAUGAAAUAAUACCGUCACUAUCUGGGUAAGUAAUGGUAUGCUCAGCCUGAGAUGACCAAGACCUGAAAUUUAUGAUGCACGGACUGGCUGUGGUUAGUGUGAGUAGGCACAACUCAUACAAGUAGGGUAUUUUGGUGACGUGAUUCUCAGAUGAAGGGCAGUACCCUAUAAAUAAAUAAAAAAAUUAAUGGAGGAAGAUUGUGAUGGUACACGUGAUAUAUCUCUGCAGGGUAUAUCGUCAUAGUUGACUAACUUUUAUUCAUUAAUCCUUUAUUAUUCUUGCUGAGUGUGUGUAAACAUACUCAUGUUAGCUCUUCCUUUUGACAUGUGCAGAAGGGGAUGAGAAUAGUUUUGAUUUGAUUGGGAGAGGUGAUGAUGACAUACAUGCAUAGUGUCAAUACCUGAGACAACAGCUCGACAACCACUGUUGUUGCGUCUUCAUGAAUAAAAGCAAAUAAGAACAAGAUUAGACUCACCGAGAUGGUAGUAUGGGAAAGGAUGUUUGUUUCUAUACUAGACAAAUGAAAAUAAAGCUGUGAUGUACUUGUAACUCUGAUAUGAAUAAAGCUUGGCUUGUUGUUUAUGAU
Molecule: long non-coding RNA, 1109 nt
Filed under: Setaria italica (foxtail millet)
Lineage: Eukaryota; Viridiplantae; Streptophyta; Magnoliopsida; Poales; Poaceae
Description: long non-coding RNA (SITA_LNC000275)
Source: RNAcentral